GGGGGUUUAGCUCAAGGGGCAGAGCGCAUGGUCAGCAUGUAUGAGGUCCUGGGUUCAAUCCCCAGUACCUCCA
Molecule: transfer RNA, 73 nt
Filed under: Camelus bactrianus (Bactrian camel)
Lineage: Eukaryota; Metazoa; Chordata; Mammalia; Artiodactyla; Camelidae
Also listed under: 1 other name
Rfam family: tRNA
About the family: Transfer RNA (tRNA) molecules are approximately 80 nucleotides in length. Their secondary structure includes four short double-helical elements and three loops (D, anti-codon, and T loops). Further hydrogen bonds mediate the characteristic L-shaped molecular structure. tRNAs have two regions of fundamental functional importance: the anti-codon, which is responsible for specific mRNA codon recognition, and the 3' end, to which the tRNAs corresponding amino acid is attached (by aminoacyl-tRNA synthetases). tRNAs cope with the degeneracy of the genetic code in two manners: having more than one tRNA (with a specific anti-codon) for a particular amino acid; and 'wobble' base-pairing, i.e. permitting non-standard base-pairing at the 3rd anti-codon position.
Source: Rfam by way of RNAcentral